AAUAAAGUCACUGCUGUGAUGAAGUCCUGACCUUCAGUUCUGCAAGUCGGCUGUCCUUGACAGAGCUCCGGCUACAACUAAACCCACUGAUCCAUGUGGGAGGAGUAACAACAUUUAAGUCACGCGAAAAUCUCGGAAGUCUCAGAUCAGAAGUCAGGCUUUUGCCAAGAGCACGUACCUACUUGCAUGAGCUAGAAGGAGGUGGCUGCUGGAGCAUGAACGCACAACCCCUGGGGGCCUGGCAGAAAGGCGGUCUCGGGAGCGGAGCGGUCCGUUUGCAAAGCCCCCCAGGGGUGGGUGAGCGAGUGCGCUCCUGCAGCAGACGGAGGCUUUCGGGAUGCGCUACUUUCCUUCAGUAGAAAGCAACUGGCUCCUUCCUCUUCUGUAUUCCUUGACCGGAUUUCCUCAGGCCUUAAAAGGUGGAGGAGGGGGGGAAAAAAAAAAAAAGGAAGAAUUAGAAGAGCCUGAAAGAUGGAAAACACAUCUUGGAUUUGUGUUUAGGAAAACUGUGACAGUACCUGCUGGAGUUCACUAAUCUCAUGGCGUAAAUAAUCCUCUUUUCUGGCAGCCGCCUGUUCUGCACGUUGCAGUGCCAACCUAAGGUCUCCAACCUAUAUGAGGAGAACCAAUACAAUCACAAACAGUAUCAAAACACUAAUUAUAGUUUCCUAACUACAUACUGUGUUGUCAACACAAUAGGUUUAUGUAUAUUUACACUAUCCAAUGAGCUUUUACAUGAUUAUCACACAUACCAUUUACCAAGUAAUUCUAAACUGAACGUCUGUAUACUUAAUAUAUACUUAGAAAAGCAUUGUUAGACCAAAAAAAAAAAAAAA
This is a long non-coding RNA of Canis lupus familiaris (dog), 836 nucleotides long. RefSeq lists it as uncharacterized. The transcript is spliced from 2 exons. The record is from RefSeq and is a predicted model, not a curated record. NCBI's taxonomy places the organism in Eukaryota, Metazoa, Chordata, Mammalia, Carnivora, Canidae.